CCGCCAAGCGACGGAAGUUUGUGAAUGUGGUCGACCCUC
RNAcentral lists this non-coding RNA (39 nucleotides) under Symbiodinium sp. Mp. Lineage: Eukaryota; Dinophyceae; Suessiales; Symbiodiniaceae. The record is from RNAcentral.